GAGAGCAGCUAAGAAUAUUCCACAAUGGACGGAAGUCUGAUGGAGCGACGCCGCGUGCGCGAUGAAGGCCGUGAGGUUGUAAAGCGCUUUUCUUGAGGGGGAACAACACAUCCAGGGAAUGGGAUGUGGAUGACGUGAAUCGAGGAAUAAGCCCCGGCUAACUACGUGCCAGCAGCCGCGGUAACACGUAGGGGGCGAGCGUUGUUCGGAAUCAUUGGGCGUAAAGGGUGCGCAGGCGGCCCGGUAAGUCUGGUGUAAAAUGGUCGUGCUCAACACGAUCAUGCGCUGGAAACUGUCGGGCUAGAGUCAACGAGGGGAUGCCGGAAUUCCAGGUGUAGGGGUGAAAUCUGUAGAUAUCUGGAAGAACACCGAUGGCGAAGGCAGGCAUCUGGCGACUGACUGACGCUGAGGCGCGAAGGUGCGGGGAGCAAACAGGUUUAGAUACCCUGGUAGUCCGCACAGUAAACGAUGUGCACCAGGUGGCGGGCAGCAGUGCUCGGUACCGAAGCAAACGCAUUAAGUGCACCGCCUGGGGAGUAUGCCCGCAAGGGUGAAACUCAAAGGAAUUGACGG
Molecule: ribosomal RNA, 573 nt
Filed under: uncultured rumen bacterium
Lineage: Bacteria
Description: bacterial SSU rRNA
Rfam family: Bacterial small subunit ribosomal RNA
Source: RNAcentral